Long non-coding RNA from Athalia rosae (coleseed sawfly), 1222 nucleotides. RefSeq lists it as uncharacterized. The record is from RefSeq and is a predicted model, not a curated record. The transcript is spliced from 2 exons. Lineage: Eukaryota; Metazoa; Arthropoda; Insecta; Hymenoptera; Athaliidae.
UCCGCUGGAAACUGGUAGGUUUACGUACUCCUGCAGGCGGCGCACAGGACAGUAGGAAAUUCAACGUUUGUGUUAUGUGCAUAGAGAGCGUGGGUAGGUAGCCCAGAUGAACAUAUUAUACGAACGGGUAUACAUAUGUAUAUGCACACGACGUAUUUACAUGGGUAACACGCGAAGGGGUGUACGAAGCGAAUGCAACGCGGUAUAGGUGGUCGGAGUUUCAGUUCGUUGUGCAGUUCAAUUUCGCCGCUUCUGCGAGAGGAAAACAAUCAUUUAGUAAUCGCGAGAGCCAGAGGUAUGUACGUACGUCCUACGGGGGUAUGUGUGACCGGUAUAUAAUGUAUACCUAGAUACACGUAUCCGUAUAGUUUAAUAUACAGUGUCCCGGCGUACCAACUCGGCUCGACUCGCGUCCAGGUGGCACGUGCACUGGAAGUGUUAUACGGAGGUGUAUAUAUAUAUUACGAUAAAUCUCCAGGUAAUUACCGAAUUAAAAUCGAGACAGUCAAUUACUUGCUAAAAUUCGAGGUUUGCGUAUAAGGCAACCGUACGUAAUAAGGUAUACGGUCGUAACGCAGUAAAUUUCAACUAGAUUCCCACACCUGUAUGUACGUACACUCGGAUAAAUAGCGUCACACCUUCUCUGACAAGGACGCGAGUUCUCGCGCACUUGAAACGUUCGGAUGUACAGCGUUAUUCCUUUUUAUCACUAGACAACGAGGUGACGUUCGAUUCGCUUCCGUUUUCCGAACAGGGAUACGUGAAGUUGAAACGCUUGUGGAGCGACCGGAGAGAAAGAAAAAAAAAAACAAAAAAAAUGAGGGAGGGAUAAAAAAUUAUUCAAAAAAAGUAUGCGAGGGUAAAGUUAAGGGUAUCGCCGUGCACGCUUGAAGAAUGAAACACAAGCAGAACUCGUUGUCGGGACAAUUGGCAAACUUUUCAAAUAUUCAUCACCUACGCAGGUACAGGGUAAACCCUCGCCGCUUUGAAAUAUACGACCCCUGAUAAAUGCUAUUGUACGCGAUGUUCAGGAAUUCUUUACCUUGGACACGGUAGAGAGGAGAAAAAUGGAACGAAACAACAAAAUAAAAUAAUAAAAAAAAAAAAGGAGCGACGCGAGGAAAUGAAGGGAUGGAAAUUGAGAUAGCUGGUUACUCCCGAGAGAGCAUUUACUCGUUCUGAUGUUGAACGAAAUAAAAAAUUUUAACAAUGAAAAAAAAAA